Molecule: ribosomal RNA, 451 nt
Filed under: uncultured bacterium
Lineage: Bacteria
Description: partial 16S ribosomal RNA
Rfam family: Bacterial small subunit ribosomal RNA
Source: RNAcentral
AGCGAACGCUGGCGGCAGGCUUAACACAUGCAAGUCGAGCGGGUGUAGCAAUACAUCAGCGGCAGACGGGUGAGUAACGCGUGGGAACGUACCUUUUGGUUCGGAACAACCCAGGGAAACUUGGGCUAAUACCGGAUAAGCCCUUACGGGGAAAGAUUUAUCGCCGAAAGAUCGGCCCGCGUCUGAUUAGCUAGUUGGUGAGGUAAUGGCUCACCAAGGCGACGAUCAGUAGCUGGUCUGAGAGGAUGAUCAGCCACAUUGGGACUGAGACACGGCCCAAACUCCUACGGGAGGCAGCAGUGGGGAAUAUUGGACAAUGGGGGCAACCCUGAUCCAGCCAUGCCGCGUGAGUGAUGAAGGCCCUAGGGUUGUAAAGCUCUUUUGUGCGGGAAGAUAAUGACGGCACCGCAAGAAUAAGCCCCGGCUAACUUCGUGCCAGCCGCCGCGGUAA